GUAAGUUCUGACCCGCACGAAUGGAGUAAUCAUGUGGGCACUGUCUCAGCGAAGGCCUCGGUGAAAGUGCAUUGGCGGUAAAGAUGCCGUCUGUCCGUACCAGGACGAGAAGACCCCAUGGAGCUUUACUACAGCUUUACAUUGAUUCGGGUUACAACAUGUGUAGCAUAGCUGGGAGGCUUUGAAGCAGAUACGCCAGUAUUUGUGGAGCCACAGGUGAAAUACCAGCCUUGUUGUGAUCUUAAUCUCACCAUUACCAUUAUCUGGUAAUGGGACCGUGUAUGGUGGGUAGUUUAACUGGGGCGGUUGCCUCCUAAAGAGUAGCGGAGGCGUUCAAAGGUUGGCUAACUUCGGAUGGAAAUCGAAGUGAUAGUGUAUGCGCAUAAGCCAGCUUGACUGUGAGGAGUACAUUCCAAGCAGAGACGAAAGUCGGAGCAAGUGACCCGCUAUACGUACAUUUGUACAUGAAUGUGGGAUCGAUAGCGC
Molecule: ribosomal RNA, 486 nt
Filed under: uncultured bacterium
Lineage: Bacteria
Description: bacterial LSU rRNA
Rfam family: Bacterial large subunit ribosomal RNA
Source: RNAcentral